CCUACGGGGGGCAGCAGUGGGGAAUAUUGGGCAAUGGGGGAAACCCUGACCCAGCAACGCCGCGUGAAGGAUGAAGGCUUUCGGGUUGUAAACUUCUUUGAUCAGGGACGAAACAAAUGACGGUACCUGAAGAACAAGCCACGGCUAACUACGUGCCAGCAGCCGCGGUAAUACGUAGGUGGCAAGCGUUAUCCGGAUUUACUGGGUGUAAAGGGCGUGUAGGCGGUUCUGCAAGUCGGGUGUGAAAUUUCCGGGCUUAACCCGGACGGGUCACCCGAAACUGCGGAACUUGAGUACUGGAGAGGAAAGUGGAAUUCCUAGUGUAGCGGUAAAAUGCGUAGAUAUUAGGAGGAACACCAGUGGCGAAGGCGGCUAUCUGGACAGUAACUGACGCUGAGGCGCGAAAGCGUGGGGAGCAAACAGGCUUAGAUACCCGGGUAGUC
Molecule: ribosomal RNA, 443 nt
Filed under: uncultured Fastidiosipila sp.
Lineage: Bacteria; Bacillati; Bacillota; Clostridia; Eubacteriales; Oscillospiraceae
Description: bacterial SSU rRNA
Rfam family: Bacterial small subunit ribosomal RNA
Source: RNAcentral